GAUGAACGCUGGCGGCGUGCCUAAUACAUGCAAGUCGAGCGAACGGACGAGAAGCUUGCUUCUCUGAUGUUAGCGGCGGACGGGUGAGUAACACGUGGAUAACCUACCUAUAAGACUGGGAUAACUUCGGGAAACCGGAGCUAAUACCGGAUAAUAUUUUGAACCGCAUGGUUCAAAAGUGAAAGACGGUCUUGCUGUCACUUAUAGAUGGAUCCGCGCUGCAUUAGCUAGUUGGUAAGGUAACGGCUUACCAAGGCAACGAUGCAUAGCCGACCGGAGAGGGUGGUCGGCCGCACUGGAACUGGAACACGGUCCAGGCUCCUACGGGAGGCAGCAGUAGGGAAUCUUCCGCAAUGGGCGAAAGCCUGACGGAGCAACGCCGCGUGAGUGAUGAAGGUCUUCGGAUCGUAAAACUCUGUUAUUAGGGAAGAACAUAUGUGUAAGUAACUGUGCACAUCUUGACGGUACCUAAUCAGAAAGCCACGGCUAACUACGUG
RNAcentral lists this ribosomal RNA (497 nucleotides) under uncultured bacterium. Its description in RNAcentral is "partial 16S ribosomal RNA". It matches the Rfam family "Bacterial small subunit ribosomal RNA", at positions 28 to 507 of the family's 1533-position model. The record is from RNAcentral.